CCUAACGAUGAUGUCCAAGUUUUUGGCCGGCAGCCCGUUCAUGAGCAGCUAACGCUUUGAGCAUCCGCCUGGGGAUACGGCCCCAAGGUUAAACUCAAAGGAAUUGACGGGGGCCCGCCCAAGCGGUGGAGCAUGUGUUUAAUUCGAAGCAACGCGCAGAACCUUACCACCCCUUGACAUGGGCGUCGCGGCCUUCCGAGAGGAGGGCCUUCAGUUCGGCUGGACGCCACACAGGUGCUGCAUGGCUGUCGUCAGCUCGUGUCGUGAGAUGUUGGGUUAAGUCCCGCAACGAGCGCAACCCUCGCCCCUAGUUGCCAGCGGUCCGGCCGGGCACUCCAGGGGAACCGCCGGUGAUAAGCCGGAGGAAGGUGGGGAUGACGUCAAGUCCUCAUGGCCCUUACGGGGUGGGCUACACACGUGCUACAAUGGCGGUGACAGUGGGUUAAUCCCCAAAAACCGUCUCAGUUCGGAUUGUCCUCUGCAACUCGAGGGCAUGAAGUCGGAAUCGCUAGUAAUCGCGGAACAGCAUGCCGCGGUGAAUACGUUCCCGGGCCUUGUACACACCGCCCGUCACACCAUGGGAGUUGGGUCUACCCGAAGACGGUGAGCUGACCUCCGCAAGGAGGGGGCAGCCGGCCACGGUAGGCUCAGCGACUGGGGUGAAGUCGUAACAAGGUAGCCGUAG
Molecule: ribosomal RNA, 685 nt
Filed under: uncultured bacterium
Lineage: Bacteria
Description: bacterial SSU rRNA
Rfam family: Bacterial small subunit ribosomal RNA
Source: RNAcentral